ACACAACCACACAAGCGACAAACAGAACGCGAAAAAAACACUGCCAAGGUAAAACCAACCAAGUACUACCCGAGGGCCAUGAUUGAUGCUGAAGGCUGGGAGGCAUGAAAAUAGGCAAAUGUCUUAAAGAUAAUAAAGUAGGGGAUUUCUUAAUUUGAUACAGCAGUAAAUGUGAAAUAAGCUUUUUUAAAGCAAAUACUUGCCCUCAAUGAUAAAUGUGAAAAAAAAUCAACCUAAAGAUAAUGAGGAAACCAA
Long non-coding RNA from Nematostella vectensis (starlet sea anemone), 255 nucleotides. RefSeq lists it as uncharacterized. The transcript has 2 exons. The record is from RefSeq and is a predicted model, not a curated record. NCBI's taxonomy places the organism in Eukaryota, Metazoa, Cnidaria, Anthozoa, Actiniaria, Edwardsiidae.